This 253-nucleotide ribosomal RNA is filed under the name uncultured bacterium. RNAcentral describes it as "partial 16S ribosomal RNA". It matches the Rfam family "Bacterial small subunit ribosomal RNA", at positions 524 to 776 of the family's 1533-position model. The record is from RNAcentral.
UACGGAGGGUGCAAGCGUUAUCCGGAAUCACUGGGUUUAAAGGGUGCGUAGGCGGCUUGAUAAGUCAGAGGUGAAAGCCCACGGCUCAACUGUGGAACUGCCUUUGAUACUGUCAGGCUUGAAUUGGGUUGAGGCAGGCGGAAUGUGGCUUGUAGCGGUGAAAUGCUUAGAUAUGCCAUAGAGAACCGAUUGCGAAGGCGGCCUGCCAAGCCUUGAUUGACGCUGAGGCACGAAAGCGUGGGGAGCGAACAGG